AGGAUAAACGCUGGCGGCGUGCUUAAUACAUGCAAGUCGAGCGGCAGCAUGCACUUCGGUGUGAUGGCGAGCGGCGGACGGCUGAGUAACGCGUAGGAAUAUACCCCAAAGUGAGGAAUAACUGCCCGAAAGGGUAGCUAAUGCCGCAUGUGGUCUUCGGAUUAAAGCUUUAUGCGCUUUGGGAAUGGCCUGCGUACGAUUAGCUUGUUGGUGAGGUAAUGGCUCACCAAGGCGAUGAUCGUUAGCUGGUCUGAGAGGAUGAUCAGCCAGACUGGGACUGAGACACGGCCCAGACUCCUACGGGAGGCAGCAGUAGGGAAUUUUCCACAAUGGGCGAGAGCCUGAUGGAGCAACGCCGCGUGCAGGAUGAAGGCCCUUGGGUCGUAAACUGCUUUUCUCUGUGAUGAAUAUGACAGUAGCUAGAGGAAUAAGGAUCGGCUAACGUCCGUGCCGAGCAGCCGUA
This 463-nucleotide ribosomal RNA is filed under the name uncultured bacterium. RNAcentral's name for it is "SSU rRNA". It matches the Rfam family "Bacterial small subunit ribosomal RNA", at positions 26 to 519 of the family's 1533-position model. The record is from RNAcentral.